UAAGUAAGCGGAGGAUAAGAAACUAAAUAGGAUUCCUUCAGUAAUGGCGAAUGAACAGGGAUAAGCUCAGUAUGGAAAUUGGGGCCUGUGGCCUUGAAUUGUAGUCUGGAGAUGUACUACCAACUGGGGCGCAGAUGUAAGCCUCUUGGAAAAGAGCAUCAAUGAGGGUGAGAGUCCCGCUUGGCAUCUGCAGUCCCCAGUGCAUGGUGUACCUUCUAAGAGUCACGUUCCUCGGGAUUGGAGCGCUAAUUGGGUGGUAAAUUUCAUCUAAAGCUAAAUAUGGCUUCGAGACCGAUAGUAAACAAGUACCAUGAGGGAAAGGUGAAAAGGACUUUGAAAAGAGAGUUAAAAGUGCCUGAAAUUGCUGAAAGGGAAGCGAAUGGAACCAGCUUAACUUGGUAAGAUUGCCGUGUGUCAGUGUGAUUGCUUGCUGCCUCAAUGUAAGUGUGGCAGUAAGUCUUGAGCAGGACAUGUGUGGUGCUUCUUGCCUUGUGUGUCACUGUCGGUUCGCGACUGAGGAAAACUUCAGGGACAUGGUAGCCUGUCUCCGGGUGGGUGAAUGUGUCUGCUGGAACUCAUUUGUGGACUGCCUGCUGAUUGAAUGGUUCCAUCCG
Molecule: ribosomal RNA, 614 nt
Filed under: Calciodinellum albatrosianum
Lineage: Eukaryota; Dinophyceae; Thoracosphaerales; Thoracosphaeraceae
Description: LSU rRNA
Rfam family: Eukaryotic large subunit ribosomal RNA
Source: RNAcentral